RNAcentral lists this ribosomal RNA (429 nucleotides) under bacterium. RNAcentral describes it as "partial 16S ribosomal RNA". It matches the Rfam family "Bacterial small subunit ribosomal RNA", at positions 355 to 776 of the family's 1533-position model. The record is from RNAcentral.
UAGGGAAUCUUCGGCAAUGGGGGCAACCCUGACCGAGCAACGCCGCGUGAGUGAAGAAGGUUUUCGGAUCGUAAAGCUCUGUUGUAAGAGAAGAACGUGUGUGAGAGUGGAAAGUUCACACAGUGACGGUAACUUACCAGAAAGGGACGGCUAACUACGUGCCAGCAGCCGCGGUAAUACGUAGGUCCCGAGCGUUGUCCGGAUUUAUUGGGCGUAAAGCGAGCGCAGGCGGUUUAAUAAGUCUGAAGUUAAAGGCAGUGGCUUAACCAUUGUUCGCUUUGGAAACUGUUAGGCUUGAGUGCAGAAGGGGAGAGUGGAAUUCCAUGUGUAGCGGUGAAAUGCGUAGAUAUAUGGAGGAACACCGGUGGCGAAAGCGGCUCUCUGGUCUGUAACUGACGCUGAGGCUCGAAAGCGUGGGGAGCAAACAGG